This is a long non-coding RNA of Pelmatolapia mariae (spotted tilapia), 256 nucleotides long. RefSeq lists it as uncharacterized. Lineage: Eukaryota; Metazoa; Chordata; Actinopteri; Cichliformes; Cichlidae. The transcript is spliced from 3 exons. The record is from RefSeq and is a predicted model, not a curated record.
GUCAUAGAGGAGAUUUGUUUCUGAUAACGAUGGUGGUCGAAGCGGGAGAGGAAAACACUUUCAAAUGACAAUUCUGGAGAAGAUGGGCCUGCAGGGGAAAGUCACCCCCUUGCAGGCCAGAAGACAUGAGAUAACUUUAAAGAAUACAAAGAUUGCAAGUAUCCAGGCUCAGGAGAGGGGGUCAGUGGGAAGCCCACUGCUGCUACUUGGCCCUGGUUUGCCCUCAUGGAUGAGGUGAUAGGACAGAUGCCUUCCA